CCUACGGGUGGCAGCAGUGAGGAAUAUUGGUCAAUGGACGAGAGUCUGAACCAGCCAAGUAGCGUGAAGGAUGACUGCCCUAUGGGUUGUAAACUUCUUUUAUAAAGGAAUAAAACGAGGCACGUGUGCCUUUUUGCAUGUACUUUAUGAAUAAGGAUCGGCUAACUCCGUGCAAGCAGCCGCGGUAAUACGGAGGAUCCGAGCGUUAUCCGGAUUUAUUGGGUUUAAAGGGAGCGUAGAUGGGUUGUUAAGUCAGUUGUGAAAGUUUGCGGCUCAACCGUAAAAUUGCAAUUGAUACUGGUAGUCUUGAGUACAGUUGAGGUAAGCGGAAUUCGUGGUGUAGCGGUGAAAUGCUUAGAUAUCACGAAGAACCCCGAUUGCGAAGGCAGCUUACUAAACUGUGACUGACAUUGAUGCUCGAAAGUGUGGGUAUCAAACAGGAUUAGAUACCCGUGUAGUC
Molecule: ribosomal RNA, 460 nt
Filed under: uncultured bacterium
Lineage: Bacteria
Description: partial 16S ribosomal RNA
Rfam family: Bacterial small subunit ribosomal RNA
Source: RNAcentral